Molecule: ribosomal RNA, 120 nt
Filed under: uncultured bacterium
Lineage: Bacteria
Description: partial 16S ribosomal RNA
Rfam family: Bacterial small subunit ribosomal RNA
Source: RNAcentral
CACGCCGUAAACGAUGAGUGCUAGGUGUUAGGCCCUUUCCGGGGCUUAGUGCCGCAGCUAACGCAUUAAGCACUCCGCCUGGGGAGUACGACCGCAAGGUUGAAACUCAAAGGAAUUGAC